GUCUGGAUGGUGUAGUUGGUUAUCACGGUUAGUCCACUGAGCUCUGAGAAUUAUCAGAACCAGCUCUCUAACAUAUCGCGCAGUCGGUCUCAUACCUAGUAUGAAUCCAUGCCAAACAUGGAGUAAUCCGAAGGCCGCGAGUUCGAGUCUCGCUCUGGACA
Non-coding RNA from Cyphellophora europaea CBS 101466, 161 nucleotides. NCBI's taxonomy places the organism in Eukaryota, Fungi, Ascomycota, Eurotiomycetes, Chaetothyriales, Cyphellophoraceae. The record is from the annotation of a RefSeq genome assembly.